This 824-nucleotide long non-coding RNA is filed under the name Marmota monax (woodchuck). Lineage: Eukaryota; Metazoa; Chordata; Mammalia; Rodentia; Sciuridae. The record is from RNAcentral.
UCUGCAUCUAUCGAGAUGAUCAUAUGGUUCUUGUCUUUAAGUCUAUUGAUGUGGUGAAUAGCAUUUAUUGAUUUCCGUAUAUUGAACCAGCCUUGCAUCCCAGGGAUGAAUCCUACUUGAUCAUGGUGCACAAUUUUUUUGAUAUGCUUUUGUAUUCGAUUCGCCAGGAUUUUAUUGAGAAUUUUUGCAUCCAAGUUCAUUAGAGAUAUUGGUCUGUAGUUUUCUUUCUUUGAAGUGUCUUUGUCUGGUUUCGGGAUCAGGGUGAUGUUGGCCUCAUAGAAUGAAUUUGGAAGAGCUCCUUCUUUUUCUAUUUCUUGAAAUAGCUUGAAAAGUAUUGGUAUUAAUUCUUCUUUGAAGGUUUUGUAAAACUCCGCUGUAUACCCAUCCGGUCCAGGGCUUUUCUUGGUUGGUAGUCUUUUGAUGGCUUCUUCUAUUUCUUCCUUUGUUAUUGGUCUGUUUAAAUUGUGUGUGUCUUCCUGACUCAAUCUGGGCAGAUCAUAUGACUUAAGAAAUUUAUCGAUAUCUUCACUAUCUUCUAUUUUAUUGGAAUAUAGGGUUUCAAAAUACUUUCUAAUUAUCUUCUGUAUUUCUGUAGUGUCUGUUGUGAUAUUGCCUUUUUCAUCCUGUAUGUUAGUAAUUUGAGUUCUCUCUCUUCUUCUGUUCGUUAGCAUGGCUAAGGGCCUGUCGAUCUUAUUUAUUUUUUCAAAGAACCAACUUUUAGUUUUAUCAAUUUUUUCAAUAGUUUUUUUUUGUUUCAAUUUCAUUGAGUUCUGCUCUAAUUUUAAUUAUUUCUUGUCUUCUACUACAUUUGCUGUUGUUUUGCU